UGGGGAAUAUUGGACAAUGGGCGCAAGCCUGAUCCAGCCAUGCCGCGUGGGUGAAGAAGGCCUUCGGGUUGUAAAGCCCUUUUGUUGGGAAAGAAAAGCAGUCGGUUAAUACCCGAUUGUUCUGACGGUACCCAAAGAAUAAGCACCGGCUAACUUCGUGCCAGCAGCCGCGGUAAUACGAAGGGUACAAGCGUUACUCGGAAUUACUGGGCGUAAAGCGUGCGUAGGUGGUGGUUUAAGUCUGUUGUAAAAGCCCUGGGCUCAACCUGGGAAUUACAGUGGAUACUGGGUCACUAGAGUGUAGUAGAGGGUAGCGGAAAAUCCCGGUGUAUCAAUGAAAAGGGUAAAAAAUCGGAAGGAAACAUCUCGGGGGAGGAGGCGGCUACCUGGACCAACACUGACACUGAGGCACGAAAGCGUGGGGAGCAAACAGGAUUAGAUACCCUGGUAGUCCACGCCCUAAACGAUGCGAACUGGAUGUUGGGUGCAAUUUGGCACGCAGUAUCGAAGCUAACGCGUUAAGUUCGCCGCCUGGGGAGUACGGUCGCAAGGCUG
RNAcentral lists this ribosomal RNA (555 nucleotides) under uncultured bacterium. RNAcentral describes it as "bacterial SSU rRNA". It matches the Rfam family "Bacterial small subunit ribosomal RNA", at positions 355 to 896 of the family's 1533-position model. The record is from RNAcentral.